GGGCUCGUAGAUCAGCGGAAGAUCGCUCCCUUGGCAUGGGAGAGGCCUGGGGUUCAAAUCCCCACGAGUCCA
Molecule: transfer RNA, 72 nt
Filed under: Thermoplasmata archaeon
Lineage: Archaea; Methanobacteriati; Thermoplasmatota; Thermoplasmata
Also listed under: 1 other name
Description: tRNA-Ala
Rfam family: tRNA
About the family: Transfer RNA (tRNA) molecules are approximately 80 nucleotides in length.
Source: RNAcentral